UACGUAUGGGGCAAGCGUUAUCCGGAUUUACUGGGUGUAAAGGGAGCGUAGACGGUACGGCAAGCCCGAUGUGAAAACCCGCAGCUCAACUGCGGGAUUGCAUUAGGAACUGUCGAACUAGAGUGUCGGAGAGGUAAGUGGAAUUCCUAGUGUAGCGGUGAAAUGCGUAGAUAUUAGGAGGAACACCAGUGGCGAAGGCGGCUUACUGGACGAUGACUGACGUUGAGGCUCGAAAGCGUGGGGAGCAAACAGG
RNAcentral lists this ribosomal RNA (253 nucleotides) under uncultured Lachnospiraceae bacterium. RNAcentral describes it as "partial 16S ribosomal RNA". It matches the Rfam family "Bacterial small subunit ribosomal RNA", at positions 524 to 776 of the family's 1533-position model. The record is from RNAcentral. Lineage: Bacteria; Bacillati; Bacillota; Clostridia; Lachnospirales; Lachnospiraceae.